RNAcentral lists this ribosomal RNA (235 nucleotides) under uncultured bacterium. Its description in RNAcentral is "partial 16S ribosomal RNA". It matches the Rfam family "Bacterial small subunit ribosomal RNA", at positions 96 to 334 of the family's 1533-position model. The record is from RNAcentral.
UGGCGGACGGGUGAGUAAUGUCUGGGAAACUGCCUGAUGGAGGGGGGUAACUACUGGAAACGGUAGCUAAUACCGCAUAACGUCGCAAGACCAAAGAGGGGGACCUUCGGGCCUCUUGCCAUCGGAUGUGCCCAGAUGGGAUUAGCUAGUAGGUGGGGUAAAGGCUCACCUAGGCGACGAUCCCUAGCUGGUCUGAAAGGAUGACCAGCCACACUGGAACUGAGACACGGUCCAG